This 76-nucleotide transfer RNA is filed under the name Eubacteriales Family XIII. Incertae Sedis bacterium. RNAcentral describes it as "tRNA-His". It matches the Rfam family "tRNA". From Rfam's summary of the family: Transfer RNA (tRNA) molecules are approximately 80 nucleotides in length. Their secondary structure includes four short double-helical elements and three loops (D, anti-codon, and T loops). Further hydrogen bonds mediate the characteristic L-shaped molecular structure. tRNAs have two regions of fundamental functional importance: the anti-codon, which is responsible for specific mRNA codon recognition, and the 3' end, to which the tRNAs corresponding amino acid is attached (by aminoacyl-tRNA synthetases). tRNAs cope with the degeneracy of the genetic code in two manners: having more than one tRNA (with a specific anti-codon) for a particular amino acid; and 'wobble' base-pairing, i.e. permitting non-standard base-pairing at the 3rd anti-codon position. The record is from RNAcentral. Lineage: Bacteria; Bacillati; Bacillota; Clostridia; Peptostreptococcales; Anaerovoracaceae.
GUGGGUAUAGUCAAGUGGUUAAGACACAUGGUUGUGGUCCAUGCAUCCGUGGGUUCGAAUCCCACUACCCACCCCA